RNAcentral lists this long non-coding RNA (389 nucleotides) under Vitis vinifera (wine grape). RNAcentral describes it as "long non-coding RNA (VVIN_LNC005924)". The record is from RNAcentral. Lineage: Eukaryota; Viridiplantae; Streptophyta; Magnoliopsida; Vitales; Vitaceae.
AAGAAUCCUCCUGAGCAAAAGAAAACAUCAAAAGACAAGAAGGCAAUGAGAAGGGCUGAGAAGGAGCGGCUCAAGGAAGGGGAGGCUGCUGAUGAGGAGCAGAAGAAGCUGAAAAAAGAGGCUGUGAAGAAAAAGGGCUCUUCAGUUAGUUCCAAGGAUGUGACUUCCAAAGUUGCAUCAACAAAGAAGACCACCAGUGUAUCUGAUGAGGAUCGUUCCCCAACUGGUAGCCAGGCUGAUGAGAAUGAAACAGAACCUGCUGAUGAAAGUGAUGAUGAUGUCCAAUGGAAAACGGACCCAUCUGUGGAGGCAGCUCAGCAACGAAUCAAGGAACAACUGAGUGCUGUUACCGCUGGGAUGGUUAUGCUGUCUAUGGAUGAAGAGAAGGC